Molecule: ribosomal RNA, 458 nt
Filed under: uncultured Pseudomonadota bacterium
Lineage: Bacteria; Pseudomonadati; Pseudomonadota
Description: bacterial SSU rRNA
Rfam family: Bacterial small subunit ribosomal RNA
Source: RNAcentral
AGGCUUAACACAUGCAAGUCGUGCGAGAAAGUAUCUUCGGAUAUGAGUAGAGCGGCGAACGGGUGAGUAACGCGUAGGAAUGUACCUAGUAGAAGGGGAUAGCCCGAGGAAACUCGGAUUAAUACCGUAUACCUCCUUCGGGAGAAAGAAGGCCUCUCUUUGAAGCUUUCGCUACUAGAUCAGCCUGCGUAAGAUUAGCUUGUUGGUGAGGUAAUGGCUCACCAAGGCUACGAUCUUUAGCUGGUCUGAGAGGACGAUCAGCCACAUUGGGACUGAGACACGGCCCAGACUCCUACGGGAGGCAGCAGUGGGGAAUAUUGGACAAUGGGCGCAAGCCUGAUCCAGCCAUACCGCGUGUGUGAAGAAGGCCUUCGGGUUGUAAAGCACUUUAAGCAGGGAGAAAAAAAUAUAGGUUAAUACCCUAUGUUCUUGAUGUUACCUGCAGAAUAAGCACCGGC